AAAAGGUGGUAAUGCCGGAUGCUCCAGUUGAUCGCAUGGUCUUCUGGGAAAGCUUUCGCGGUAUGGGAUGGGGUCGCGUCCUAUCAGCUUGACGGCGGGGUAACGGCCCACCGUGGCUUCGACGGGUAGCCGGCCUGAGAGGGCGACCGGCCACAUUGGGACUGAGAUACGGCCCAGACUCCUACGGGAGGCAGCAGUGGGGAAUAUUGCACAAUGGGCGCAAGCCUGAUGCAGCGACGCCGCGUGAGGGAUGGAGGCCUUCGGGUUGUAAACCUCUUUUAUCGGGGAGCAAGCGAGAGUGAGUUUACCCGUUGAAUAAGCACCGGCUAACUACGUGCCAGCAGCCGCGGUAAUACGUAGGGUGCAAGCGUUAUCCGGAAUUAUUGGGCGUAAAGGGCUCGUAGGCGGUUCGUCGCGUCCGGUGUGAAAGUCCAUCGCUUAACGGUGGAUCCGCGCCGGGUACGGGCGGGCUUGAGUGCGGUAGGGGAGACUGGAAUUCCCGGUGUAACGGUGGAAUGUGUAGAUAUCGGGAAGAACACCA
This 541-nucleotide ribosomal RNA is filed under the name Bifidobacterium longum subsp. suillum. RNAcentral's name for it is "bacterial SSU rRNA". It matches the Rfam family "Bacterial small subunit ribosomal RNA", at positions 155 to 711 of the family's 1533-position model. The record is from RNAcentral. Lineage: Bacteria; Bacillati; Actinomycetota; Actinomycetes; Bifidobacteriales; Bifidobacteriaceae.